GGUUAAGCGACUAAGCGUACACGGUGGAUGCCCUGGCAGUCAGAGGCGAUGAAGGACGUGCUAAUCUGCGAAAAGCGCCGGCGAGGUGAUAUGAACCUUUGACCCGGCGAUGUCCGAAUGGGGAAACCCAGUGCAAUUCGUUGCACUAUCGUUAACUGAAUACAUAGGUUAACGAGGCGAACCGGGGGAACUGAAACAUCUAAGUACCCCGAGGAAAAGAAAUCAACCGAGAUUCCCCCAGUAGCGGCGAGCGAACGGGGAGCAGCCCGGAGUCUGAAUCAGCUUGUGUGUUAGUGGAACGGUCUGGAAAGUCCGACGGUACAGGGUGAUAGUCCCGUACACGAAAAUGCACAGGUUGUGAACUCGAAGAGUAGGGCGGGACACGUGGUAUCCUGUCUGAAUAUGGGGGGACCAUCCUCCAAGGCUAAAUACUCCUGACUGACCGAUAGUGAACCAGUACCGUGAGGGAAAGGCGAAAAGAACCCCGGCGAGGGGAGUGAAAAAGAACCUGAAACCGUGUACGUACAAGCAGUGGGAGCCUACUUGUUAGGUGACUGCGUACCUUUUGUAUAAUGGGUCAGCGACUUAUAUUCUGUAGCAAGGUUAACCGUAUAGGGGAGCCGAAGGGAAACCGAGUCUUAACUGGGCGUUAAGUUGCAGGGUAUAGACCCGAAACCCGGUGAUCUAGCCAUGGGCAGGUUGAAGGUUGGGUAACACUAACUGGAGGACCGAACCGACUAAUGUUGAAAAAUUAGCGGAUGACCUGUGGCUGGGGGUGAAAGGCCAAUCAAACCGGGAGAUAGCUGGUUCUCCCCGAAAGCUAUUUAGGUAGCGCCUCGUGAAUUCAUCUUCGGGGGUAGAGCACUGUUUCGGCUAGGGGGCCAUCCCGGCUUACCAACCCGAUGCAAACUACGAAUACCGAAGAAUGUUAUCACGGGAGACACACGGCGGGUGCUAACGUCCGUCGUGAAGAGGGAAACAACCCAGACCGCCAGCUAAGGUCCCAAAGUCAUGGUUAAGUGGGAAACGAUGUGGGAAGGCACAGACAGCCAGGAUGUUGGCUUAGAAGCAGCCAUCAUUUAAAGAAAGCGUAAUAGCUCACUGGUCGAGUCGGCCUGCGCGGAAGAUGUAACGGGGCUAAACCAUGCACCGAAGCUGCGGCAGCGACGCUUAUGCGUUGUUGGGUAGGGGAGCGUUCUGUAAGCCGUUGAAGGUGGCCUGUGAGGGUUGCUGGAGGUAUCAGAAGUGCGAAUGCUGACAUAAGUAACGAUAAAGCGGGUGAAAAGCCCGCUCGCCGGAAGACCAAGGGUUCCUGUCCAACGUUAAUCGGGGCAGGGUGAGUCGACCCCUAAGGCGAGGCCGAAAGGCGUAGUCGAUGGGAAACAGGUUAAUAUUCCUGUACUUGGUGUUACUGCGAAGGGGGGACGGAGAAGGCUAUGUUAGCCGGGCGACGGUUGUCCCGGUUUAAGCAUGUAGGCGGAGGUUCCAGGUAAAUCCGGUACCUUUUAACGCUGAGGUGUGAUGACGAGGCACUACGGUGCUGAAGUAACAAAUGCCCUGCUUCCAGGAAAAGCCUCUAAGCAUCAGGUAACACGAAAUCGUACCCCAAACCGACACAGGUGGUCAGGUAGAGAAUACCAAGGCGCUUGAGAGAACUCGGGUGAAGGAACUAGGCAAAAUGGUGCCGUAACUUCGGGAGAAGGCACGCUGAUAUGUAGGUGAAGCCCCUGCGGGUGGAGCUGAAAUCAGUCGAAGAUACCAGCUGGCUGCAACUGUUUAUUAAAAACACAGCACUGUGCAAACACGAAAGUGGACGUAUACGGUGUGACGCCUGCCCGGUGCCGGAAGGUUAAUUGAUGGGGUUAGCGGCAACGCGAAGCUCUUGAUCGAAGCCCCGGUAAACGGCGGCCGUAACUAUAACGGUCCUAAGGUAGCGAAAUUCCUUGUCGGGUAAGUUCCGACCUGCACGAAUGGCGUAAUGAUGGCCAGGCUGUCUCCACCCGAGACUCAGUGAAAUUGAACUCGCUGUGAAGAUGCAGUGUACCCGCGGCAAGACGGAAAGACCCCGUGAACCUUUACUAUAGCUUGACACUGAACACUGGUCCUUGAUGUGUAGGAUAGGUGGGAGGCUUUGAAGCGUGGACGCCAGUCUGCGUGGAGCCGCCCUUGAAAUACCACCCUUUAAUGGCUGGUGUUCUAACGUAGACCCGUGAUCCGGGUUGCGGACAGUGUCUGGUGGGUAGUUUGACUGGGGCGGUCUCCUCCCAAAGAGUAACGGAGGAGCACGAAGGUUAGCUAAUCCUGGUCGGACAUCAGGAGGUUAGUGCAAUGGCAUAAGCUAGCUUGACUGCGAGAGUGACGGCUCGAGCAGGUGCGAAAGCAGGUCAUAGUGAUCCGGUGGUUCUGAAUGGAAGGGCCAUCGCUCAACGGAUAAAAGGUACUCCGGGGAUAACAGGCUGAUACCGCCCAAGAGUUCAUAUCGACGGCGGUGUUUGGCACCUCGAUGUCGGCUCAUCACAUCCUGGGGCUGAAGUAGGUCCCAAGGGUAUGGCUGUUCGCCAUUUAAAGUGGUACGCGAGCUGGGUUUAGAACGUCGUGAGACAGUUCGGUCCCUAUCUGCCGUGGGCGCUGGAGAAUUGAGGGGGGCUGCUCCUAGUACGAGAGGACCGGAGUGGACGCAUCACUGGUGUUCGGGUUGUCAUGCCAAUGGCACUGCCCGGUAGCUAAAUGCGGAAGAGAUAAGUGCUGAAAGCAUCUAAGCACGAAACUUGCCCCGAGAUGAGUUCUCCCUGAGACU
This 2797-nucleotide ribosomal RNA is filed under the name Enterobacter kobei. RNAcentral's name for it is "partial 23S ribosomal RNA". It matches the Rfam family "Bacterial large subunit ribosomal RNA". Lineage: Bacteria; Pseudomonadati; Pseudomonadota; Gammaproteobacteria; Enterobacterales; Enterobacteriaceae. The record is from RNAcentral.